CCUACGGGUGGCUGCAGUGGGGAAUAUUGGACAAUGGGCGAAAGCCUGAUCCAGCCAUGCCGCGUGUGUGAAGAAGGCCUUCGGGUUGUAAAGCACUUUCAGUGGGGAAGAAAGCCUUGGGGCUAAUACCCUCGAGGAAGGACAUCACCCACAGAAGAAGCACCGGCUAACUCCGUGCCAGCAGCCGCGGUAAUACGGAGGGUGCGAGCGUUAAUCGGAAUUACUGGGCGUAAAGCGCGCGUAGGCGGUCUGAUAAGCCGGUUGUGAAAGCCCCGGGCUCAACCUGGGAACGGCAUCCGGAACUGUCAGGCUAGAGUGCAGGAGAGGAAGGUAGAAUUCCCGGUGUAGCGGUGAAAUGCGUAGAGAUCGGGAGGAAUACCAGUGGCGAAGGCGGCCUUCUGGACUGACACUGACGCUGAGGUGCGAAAGCGUGGGUAGCGAACAGGAUUAGAUACCCCGGUAGUC
RNAcentral lists this ribosomal RNA (465 nucleotides) under Vreelandella stevensii. Its description in RNAcentral is "partial 16S ribosomal RNA". It matches the Rfam family "Bacterial small subunit ribosomal RNA", at positions 338 to 795 of the family's 1533-position model. Lineage: Bacteria; Pseudomonadati; Pseudomonadota; Gammaproteobacteria; Oceanospirillales; Halomonadaceae. The record is from RNAcentral.